RNAcentral lists this ribosomal RNA (266 nucleotides) under Salmonella enterica. RNAcentral describes it as "partial 23S ribosomal RNA". It matches the Rfam family "Bacterial large subunit ribosomal RNA", at positions 1109 to 1373 of the family's 2925-position model. The record is from RNAcentral. Lineage: Bacteria; Pseudomonadati; Pseudomonadota; Gammaproteobacteria; Enterobacterales; Enterobacteriaceae.
GAAGCAGCCAUCAUUUAAAGAAAGCGUAAUAGCUCACUGGUCGAGUCGGCCUGCGCGGAAGAUGUAACGGGGCUAAACCAUGCACCGAAGCUGCGGCAGCGACACUCAGGUGUUGUUGGGUAGGGGAGCGUUCUGUAAGCCUGUGAAGGUGUGUCGUGAGGCAUGCUGGAGGUAUCAGAAGUGCGAAUGCUGACAUAAGUAACGAUAAAGCGGGUGAAAAGCCCGCUCGCCGGAAGACCAAGGGUUCCUGUCCAACGUUAAUCGGG